Molecule: small nucleolar RNA, 143 nt
Organism: Arvicanthis niloticus (Nile rat)
Lineage: Eukaryota; Metazoa; Chordata; Mammalia; Rodentia; Muridae
Product: small nucleolar RNA SNORA48
Source: RefSeq, a predicted model, not a curated record
ACCCCCUGGUAAUGGGCAAAGAGACACUUUGUUGUUGUUGGUAGUCUUACAUCAGUCAGAGGCAGAACAGAUGGCAGGCCUUUAUUCCUCCUAGCUUGAUGCCUGGCUUGGUGGCAAAGCUGUUUUAUGCCUAGGACACAUAA